This is a non-coding RNA of Chelonoidis abingdonii (Abingdon island giant tortoise), 125 nucleotides long. Lineage: Eukaryota; Metazoa; Chordata; Testudines; Testudinidae. The record is from RefSeq and is a predicted model, not a curated record.
GGAGUCCCUGGGCGAUGCUCAGGAAUUGCUCCCCACAAAACCAGGCAGGAUUUUGGGGAGCCUCGUCUCGGAGCAGACUGUCUUCAGGGCAGGAAGCUCACACAGCUUCACCUGCUGGGUCUGAC